This 252-nucleotide ribosomal RNA is filed under the name uncultured bacterium. Its description in RNAcentral is "partial 16S ribosomal RNA". It matches the Rfam family "Bacterial small subunit ribosomal RNA", at positions 524 to 776 of the family's 1533-position model. The record is from RNAcentral.
UACAGAGGUCCCGAGCGUUGUUCGGAUUCACUGGGCGUAAAGGGUGCGUAGGUGGUGAGGAAAGUCGGAUGUGAAAUCUCCGGGCUUAACCCGGAAAUGGCAUUGGAAACUACCUUGCUAGAGGUUUUGAGGGGGACUGGAAUUCUCGGUGUAGCAGUGAAAUGCGUAGAUAUCGAGAGGAACACCGGUGGCGAAGGCGAGUCCCUGGACAACACCUGACACUGAGGCACGAAAGCUAGGGGAGCAAACAGG